AUUGAACGCUGGCGGCAGGCCUAACACAUGCCAGUCGAACGGUAACAGGAAGCAGCUUGCUGCUUUGCUGACGAGUGGCGGACGGGUGAGUAAUGUCUGGGAAACUGCCCGAUGGAGGGGGAUAACUACUGGAAACGGUAGCUAAUACCGCAUAACGUCGCAAGACUAAAGAGGGGGACCUUAGGGCCUCUUGCCAUCGGAUGUGCCCAGAUGGGAUUAGCUAGUAGGUGGGGUAACGGCUCACCUAGGCGACGAUCCCUAGCUGGUCUGAGAGGAUGACCAGCCACACUGGAACUGAGACACGGUCCAGACUCCUACGGGAGGCAGCAGUGGGGAAUAUUGCACAAUGGGCGCAAGCCUGAUGCAGCCAUGCCGCGUGUAUGAAGAAGGCCUUCGGGUUGUAAAGUACUUUCAGCGGGGAGGAAGGGAGUAAAGUUAAUACCUUUGCUCAUUGACGUUACCCGCAGAAGAAGCACCGGCUAACUCCGUG
Molecule: ribosomal RNA, 490 nt
Filed under: uncultured bacterium
Lineage: Bacteria
Description: partial 16S ribosomal RNA
Rfam family: Bacterial small subunit ribosomal RNA
Source: RNAcentral